UACGUAGGGUGCGAGCGUUAAUCGGAAUUACUGGGCGUAAAGCGUGCGCAGGCGGUUUUGUAAGACAGCUGUGAAAUCCCCGGGCUUAACCUGGGAACUGCGGUUGUGACUGCAAGACUGGAGUCAGGCAGAGGGGGGUGGAAUUCCACGUGUAGCAGUGAAAUGCGUAGAGAUGUGGAGGAACACCGAUGGCGAAGGCAGCCCCCUGGGCCAUGACUGACGCUCAUGCACGAAAGCGUGGGGAGCAAACAGG
RNAcentral lists this ribosomal RNA (253 nucleotides) under uncultured bacterium. RNAcentral describes it as "partial 16S ribosomal RNA". It matches the Rfam family "Bacterial small subunit ribosomal RNA", at positions 524 to 776 of the family's 1533-position model. The record is from RNAcentral.